This 426-nucleotide ribosomal RNA is filed under the name Boana multifasciata group sp. ABGD cluster 72. Its description in RNAcentral is "partial large subunit ribosomal RNA". It matches the Rfam family "Bacterial large subunit ribosomal RNA", at positions 1822 to 2350 of the family's 2925-position model. Lineage: Eukaryota; Metazoa; Chordata; Amphibia; Anura; Hylidae. The record is from RNAcentral.
UUUGAUAUAAAUAUAAAAGGUCCAGCCUGCCCAGUGACCUAGUUCAACGGCCGCGGUAUCCUAACCGUGCGAAGGUAGCGUAAUCACUUGUUCUUUAAAUGAGGACUAGUAUGAAUGGCACCACGAGGGUUAAACUGUCUCCUUUUUCUAAUCAGUGAAACUAAUCUCCCCGUGAAGAAGCGGGGAUUAUCAUAUAAGACGAGAAGACCCUAUGGAGCUUAAAACAAAUUAACACCUGCUUCCACCUAUUUUUAUUCCUGAGCUAACACACAAAAUACAGCAUUACUGAUUAAUAGUUUUCGAUUGGGGUGAUCAUGGAGUAAAAACUAACCUCCACGACGAAAGGGCCUCUUCCCUGAGCUAAAAGCUACAACUUUAGGCACUAAAAAAUUAACGCACUUUGACCCAAAUUUUUGAGCAACGAAC